AACGAACGCUGGCGGCGCGUUUAAGCAUGCAAGUCGAGCGGCAAGGGCCUUCGGGCCCCUAGAGCGGCGGACGGGUGAGUAACACGUGGACAAUCUGCCCCCCGGCCCGGGAUAGCCCAGGGAAACCUGGAUUAAUACCGGAUGAGACGGGACCCGCGAUGGCGGGAUCCGGGAAAGGCGCUGCGGCGCCGCCGGGGGAUGAGUCUGCGUCCCAUUAGCUAGACGGCGGGGUAACGGCCCACCGUGGCGACGAUGGGUAGCCGGCCUGAGAGGGUGGACGGCCACAUUGGAACUGAGACACGGUCCAGACUCCUACGGGAGGCAGCAGCUAAGAAUCUUCCGCAAUGGGCGAAAGCCUGACGGAAGCGACGCCGCGUGAACGAAGAAGGCCGUGAGGUUGUAAAGUUCUUUUCGGGAGGGGGAACAACCGUGGCAGGGAAUGGCCGCGGGAUGACGUGAAUCCCGGAAUAAGCCCCGGCUAACUACGUGCCAGCCGCCGC
Molecule: ribosomal RNA, 500 nt
Filed under: uncultured bacterium
Lineage: Bacteria
Description: bacterial SSU rRNA
Rfam family: Bacterial small subunit ribosomal RNA
Source: RNAcentral